Brachypodium distachyon (stiff brome) is the source of this 136-nucleotide non-coding RNA. NCBI's taxonomy places the organism in Eukaryota, Viridiplantae, Streptophyta, Magnoliopsida, Poales, Poaceae. The record is from Rfam.
AACAUACUUUCUCCGUCCAACAAAAAAUGUCUCAAGUUUGUCAAAAUUUGGAUGUAUCUACAAAUGACUUAGUGUAUAGAUGCAUUCAAAUUUGGUCAAAAUUGAGACAUCCUUUGUUGCACGGAGGGAGUAUUAU